This 483-nucleotide ribosomal RNA is filed under the name uncultured bacterium. RNAcentral's name for it is "partial 16S ribosomal RNA". It matches the Rfam family "Bacterial small subunit ribosomal RNA", at positions 28 to 523 of the family's 1533-position model. The record is from RNAcentral.
GACGAACGCUGGCGGCGUGCUUAACACAUGCAAGUCGAACGACGAACCCGGAGCUUGCUCCGGCGGAUUAGUGGCGAACGGGUGAGUAACACGUGAGUAACCUGCCCUUGACUCUGGGAUAACUGCUAGAAAUGGUAGCUAAUACCGGAUACGACCCUCGGUGGCAUCACCAGGGGGUGGAAAGAAUUUCGGUCAAGGAUGGACUCGCGGCCUAUCAGCAAGUUGGUGAGGUAACGGCUCACCAAGGCGACGACGGGUAGCCGGCCUGAGAGGGUGACCGGCCACACUGGGACUGAGACACGGCCCAGACUCCUACGGGAGGCAGCAGUGGGGAAUAUUGCACAAUGGGCGCAAGCCUGAUGCAGCAACGCCGCGUGAGGGAUGACGGCCUUCGGUUGUAAACCUCUUUUAGUAGGGAAGAAGCGAAAGUGACGGUACCUGCAGAAAAAGCACCGGCUAACUACGUGCCAGCAGCCGCCGUAA